Molecule: unclassified non-coding RNA, 310 nt
Filed under: uncultured fungus
Lineage: Eukaryota; Fungi
Description: sequence contains ITS1
Rfam family: 5.8S ribosomal RNA (bases 1-105)
Source: RNAcentral
GAAACGCGAUAUGUAAUACGAAUUGCAGAAUUCAGUGAGUCAUCGAAUCUUUGAACGCACAUUGCGCCCGCCAGCAUUCUGGCGGGCAUGCUUGUUCGAGCGUCCUCAAAAACCCUCGGGCCCAAGGCGCAAGCCUACGGCACGGUGUUGGGGCGCCGCGGCUGCCGCGGCCCCCUAAAUUCAGUGGCGGACCUCCCUGUGGCCCUGGCGUAGUAAAUAACCUCGUCUUCGGUUGCUGGGAGGGGCCUGCCCCCAAAACCAUCUCACCAAUUUGGACCUCGAAUCAAGUAGGAAUACCCGCUGAACUUAA